UACGGAGGGGGCUAGCGUUGUCCGGAAUUACUGGGGGUAAAGCGUGCGCAGGCGGCUGCUCAAGUCAGGGGGGAAAGCCCAGAGCUCAACUCUGGAAUUGCCUUUGAGACUGAGUGGCUUGAGUACGGGAGAGGUGAGUGGAAUUCCCAGUGUAGAGGUGAAAUUCGUAGAUAUUGGGAAGAACACCGGUGGCGAAGGCGGCUCACUGGCCCGUAACUGACGCUCAUGCACGACAGCGUGGGGAUCAAACAGG
RNAcentral lists this ribosomal RNA (253 nucleotides) under uncultured bacterium. Its description in RNAcentral is "partial 16S ribosomal RNA". It matches the Rfam family "Bacterial small subunit ribosomal RNA", at positions 524 to 776 of the family's 1533-position model. The record is from RNAcentral.